UACGGGGGGGGCAAGCGUUGCUCGGAAUUACUGGGCGUAAAGGGCUCGUAGGCGGCCAAUUAAGUCAGACGUGAAAUCCCCAGGCUCAACUUGGGAACUGCGUCUGAUACUGGUUGGCUUGAAUUCGGGAGAGGGAUGCAGAAUUCCAGGUGUAGCGGUGAAAUGCGUAGAUAUCUGGAGGAAUACCGGUGGCGAAGGCGGCAUCCUGGACCGAGAUUGACACUGAUGAGCGAAAGCCAGGGGAGCAAACGGG
This 253-nucleotide ribosomal RNA is filed under the name uncultured bacterium. RNAcentral describes it as "partial 16S ribosomal RNA". It matches the Rfam family "Bacterial small subunit ribosomal RNA", at positions 524 to 776 of the family's 1533-position model. The record is from RNAcentral.